Molecule: long non-coding RNA, 965 nt
Organism: Panicum virgatum (switchgrass)
Lineage: Eukaryota; Viridiplantae; Streptophyta; Magnoliopsida; Poales; Poaceae
Exons: 2
Source: RefSeq, a predicted model, not a curated record
UUCCGCUCCAGUCAAAGAAUUGGCUUGCAGCAUGCCUUGUUAAGCUAGAAUCAAGAGCUGGCUUAUCAGGCGAUCAUGGUGUCAGUUGUGUAGAUAUGGAGAUAAUUAUUUAUCAGACUAUUCCAAGCCUAGUUGAGCAAAUGCUGACCUCAUUUUCUUUUGAAAAUAAAAGAAGUGCCGUAAUAGAGCUAAACAAGAUAAUAUCGAGUGGUGUGCUGGAAUACACAAGAGCAACGGCUGAUUCUGGGGGCAUAUUUCCACUGGUGAAAAUGCUUGAAGAGGGCGAUGAAGAUGCAUUGGAAGCUGCCUUAGCUAUCUUGUAUAAUCUGAGCAUGGAUCCAGAAAAUCACCCAGCAAUAAUUGCUGCUGGAGCAGUGCCUCUGUUGAAACGGAUUAUUUUUGCCAAAGGCCCUCACGGAACUAAAGCUCUUCAGUUGCUGAGAACAUUGCCUGUAUGACAUUCUUGAAGCAAAUGACCGUCUUGUAAAAAAGACAUCUUAAGCCGCACCUGGUGUGUGCCACAGCUAGUUUGCUACAUUGAGGCUGCAGCCGAACUGUGCCAGCUCACAGUCGCCACAUAGAUGUUGAACUUGUGACAUGAAAAGAGGUAGCAACUGUUAGCAAUACUCAGCUUUCCUGUGGCCAGCUUUUUUCCUUUACUUUUUCAGUGGCCAGUAACGAAGCUCACCGGGGCCUUAUCUGUGAUGUAAUUUUUUUUUUGCUGACAUGUUUUGAGAAAAGUUAGAACCGUGAACCUUUUUGGCACAGUAGAAGUUUGCUGGUUGUGUGACCCUGUAGUUUUACGCUGUAGCUCGUAAACUUCACCUGUUUUAGAACUAGAUUACUACAGCUCUGUAAAAAGAUGGAUAGCCUUUUUGUACAACUAUUACCGAACUAUCCCGACCAUUGUAGCGAAUUUCUGUGACAGUAGUAAAUUACAUGAGAUACAUCAUUUGUUGAGGCUA